This 253-nucleotide ribosomal RNA is filed under the name uncultured bacterium. RNAcentral describes it as "partial 16S ribosomal RNA". It matches the Rfam family "Bacterial small subunit ribosomal RNA", at positions 524 to 776 of the family's 1533-position model. The record is from RNAcentral.
UACGGGGGGGGCAAGCGUUGUUCGGAAUUACUGGGCGUAAAGGGCUCGUAGGUGGCCAACUAAGUCAGACGUGAAAUCCCUCGGCUCAACCGGGGCACUGCGUCUGAGACUGAAUGGCUUGAAUCCGGGAGAGGUGAGUGGAAUUCCCAGUGUAGCGGUGAAAUGCGUAGAUAUUGGGAGGAACACCAGUGGCGAAGGCGGCUCACUGGACCGGAACUGACGCUGAGGCGCGAAAGCGUGGGGAGCAAACAGG